CAGUAGCCGCGGUAAUACGUAGGGUGCAAGCGUUAAUCGGAAUUACUGGGCGUAAAGCGUGCGCAGGCGGUUAUAUAAGACAGAUGUGAAAUCCCCGGGCUCAACCUGGGAACUGCAUUUGUGACUGUAUAGCUAGAGUACGGCAGAGGGGGAUGGAAUUCCGCGUGUAGCAGUGAAAUGCGUAGAUAUGCGGAGGAACAACGAUGGCGAAGGCAAUCCCCUGGGCCUGUACUGACGCUCAUGCACGAAAGCGUGGGGAGCAAACAGGAUUAGAUACCCCUGUAGUCCCUGUCUCUUAUAU
RNAcentral lists this ribosomal RNA (301 nucleotides) under uncultured bacterium. Its description in RNAcentral is "partial 16S ribosomal RNA". It matches the Rfam family "Bacterial small subunit ribosomal RNA", at positions 509 to 809 of the family's 1533-position model. The record is from RNAcentral.